GGAUGUCAGGGUGACCUCGCUGCAACAUCUGUCACCCCAUUGAUUGCCAGGGUUGAGUCGGCUGAUCUGGCUGGCUAGGCAGGUGGCCCCCUCCUCCCUCAAUGGUCCCCCACACUCCGUAGGAGAGGAAGACCUUCCCCCCAGAGGAGAGGACCAGUCUUCGGUCAAGGGUAUGCUAGUAGCUGCGCUCCCCUGCUAGAACCUCCAAACAAGCUCUCAAUGGUGAUCAACAUGGCUAAUCUUACUGGUCCCCAACAAUUCUCAUUUCCCAUUGAAUAAAU
Molecule: small nuclear RNA, 281 nt
Filed under: Myotis brandtii (Brandt's bat)
Lineage: Eukaryota; Metazoa; Chordata; Mammalia; Chiroptera; Vespertilionidae
Description: 7SK RNA
Rfam family: 7SK RNA
About the family: 7SK was discovered as an abundant small nuclear RNA in the mid-70s but a possible function has only recently been suggested. Two independent studies have found that 7SK RNA binds the CDK9/cyclin T complex (known as elongation factor P-TEFb).
Source: Rfam by way of RNAcentral